AAAUUGAAGAGUUUGAUCAUGGCUCAGAUUGAACGCUGGCGGCAGGCCUAACACAUGCAAGUCGAACGGUAACAGGAAGCAGCUUGCUGCUUCGCUGACGAGUGGCGGACGGGUGAGUAAUGUCUGGGAAACUGCCUGAUGGAGGGGGAUAACUACUGGAAACGGUAGCUAAUACCGCAUAACGUCGCAAGACCAAAGAGGGGGACCUUCGGGCCUCUUGCCAUCGGAUGUGCCCAGAUGGGAUUAGCUAGUAGGUGGGGUAACGGCU
This 268-nucleotide ribosomal RNA is filed under the name Escherichia coli. RNAcentral's name for it is "partial 16S ribosomal RNA". It matches the Rfam family "Bacterial small subunit ribosomal RNA", at positions 1 to 265 of the family's 1533-position model. RNAcentral also lists the same sequence under 1 other name. Lineage: Bacteria; Pseudomonadati; Pseudomonadota; Gammaproteobacteria; Enterobacterales; Enterobacteriaceae. The record is from RNAcentral.